GACCGCAUCGCCUAACGGACAGGGCAACUGCCUCCUAAGCAGUGAAUUGAGGGUUCAAAUCCCUCUGCGGUCGCCA
This 76-nucleotide transfer RNA is filed under the name Actinobacillus equuli subsp. equuli. RNAcentral's name for it is "tRNA-Arg". It matches the Rfam family "tRNA". From Rfam's summary of the family: Transfer RNA (tRNA) molecules are approximately 80 nucleotides in length. Their secondary structure includes four short double-helical elements and three loops (D, anti-codon, and T loops). Lineage: Bacteria; Pseudomonadati; Pseudomonadota; Gammaproteobacteria; Pasteurellales; Pasteurellaceae. The record is from RNAcentral. RNAcentral also lists the same sequence under 1 other name.